GAUAAACGCUGGCGGCGUGCCUAACACAUGCAAGUCGAACGUCUCUGCCGCAAGGCAGGGGAGUGGCGGACGGGUGAGGAACACGUGGAUAUCUACCUCCGGGUGGGAAUACCGUCGGGAAACCGACGACAAGACCGCAUAGCCUUGGCAACAAGGAAAGCUUUGCCGUAAGGCAAGGCGCCGGGAGAUGAGUCUGCGUCCGAUUAGUUUGUCGGUGGGUAAUGGCCUACCGAGGCGACGAUCGGUAGCUGGUCUGAGAGGACGAUCAGCCACACUGGGAUUGAGAACGGCCCAGA
RNAcentral lists this ribosomal RNA (296 nucleotides) under uncultured bacterium. RNAcentral's name for it is "partial 16S ribosomal RNA". It matches the Rfam family "Bacterial small subunit ribosomal RNA", at positions 28 to 335 of the family's 1533-position model. The record is from RNAcentral.